Molecule: unclassified non-coding RNA, 376 nt
Filed under: uncultured fungus
Lineage: Eukaryota; Fungi
Description: partial contains small subunit ribosomal RNA, internal transcribed spacer 1, and 5.8S ribosomal RNA
Rfam family: Eukaryotic small subunit ribosomal RNA (bases 1-73)
Source: RNAcentral
CCAAACUUGGUCAUUUAGAGGAAGUAAAAGUCGUAACAAGGUUUCCGUAGGUGAACCUGCGGAAGGAUCAUUAUAGAAUAAACCUGGUGGACUGUUGCUGGCUCUCUUGGGAGCAUGUGCACGUCUGUCAUCUUUAUAUCUCCACCUGUGCACCUUUUGUAGACCUGGAAACAACUUUUAUUCUGAGGAGACUCAGUUGUGAGGAUUUGUAGGCUUCAUCUAGAAGUCAGCUCUCCUUCAGUGUCCAGGCCUAUGUCUUUUCAUACACACCAAAAAAUGUAUUAGAAUGUCAAUUUAAAUGGUCUUUGCACCUAUAAAACAUUAUACAACUUUCAGCAACGGAUCUCUUGGCUCUCGCAUCGAUGAAGAACGCAGC